UCCAGUAUAUUUCAUAUUUAUAUUUAUUUGUGAGGCCCUCGUCAUCAUUUAUAUUCACUAAAAGCACAGUCGCCUAAAGAUUUAAUAAAUAUAGCGAAAAAUUGCGAAAAUUGGGGGAAAUAAUAUAUUUUUAGUAGCAUUAUUAUUUUAAAAUCUUAAGAGGUUCCCCGGCCGUUACUUGCAAAUUAAACUCUUAAAGUGUAUAACGAUCUAUAACGAAUAUAUGCAUUCAUCAUGUGUGCAGAUACGGCGGAUAUAUAGGGUCUGUCAUAAGUGCACUUUGUAUGCCCUGCAUGUGUGCACUCAGGAGGUCCUCCUGAGCGGUGUUUAGACGUACCGGGAAAAUCUUAUCUGAUUCAGGAUCAAUUCAUCGGUUACACUCCCCUGUCACCAGUGAUCCUUUUUGCUGACAUUCUGAAAAAGUAUUGUGUAGUCCCUGUGGCAAGAACAUUAAAGAUAAAGAGGAAACUAUAAACAGAAGAAAUUAUCAACAAAAUAAGAUUUACAGAGGUCAAAAAAGCCUAAAUGGUCAGACAUCUCGAUUUUCAUAGUCAUCAUUCACAGAUCAAUACUGAACGGAAAACUUAAAGCUGAUAUUUUUCUCCAUAGUGCGACUUUUUUUAUUAAUUUGAAAUGGAAUGUGUAUUUUCCUACAUUUAUUUGAAAGAGGAAAUUUCAACAUGAGGACUAUAACCAAAAAGGAGUCAUAUCAUCACGAUCAUUGAUGCACAAGAACUUGAUCAUAGAAAUACAACAAUGUAAUUAUCAAUUGAAAGAUGGAACGAAUGAACAAAAUAUUAGAAUGUUGUUGUCCAAAUAAAAUUGCUUUGUCUUCUCAUUUGAAUCUCUCCAUUCAAUAAAGAUGUACAGAGGAAGAUCUUUGAAGAACAGAUUGAAAAAAAUGUUUUGUCUAAGAAUUGCAGGAAUAUUCUAGUGAAUGAAAUUAUUUAUUGACUUCACUCUUAUAUAGUGGACUGAAUAAUUGUACAUAGCGAGUUGUGAAUAAAGAAAACAAAAACUUUAACAAAAAGUGUUUAUAUUAUAAAUUUGCAAAUAUAAGCAUACUAUUAUGUACACUACAAAGGUAUAUCUAAUUCAAAUUGUUUGCAUAUGCAAGUAUUGCAAUGAAACUAUAACAAAGAAAAUCUUACCUCAUGAAAAGAGUAAACUAUUCAGUCAGAAUAUAAAAUAUUUUUCAGUUCUAUUUUUCAUAAUAGAAUAAACAAGUCAAAGAUUUCAAAACAAUAUUUUUUCAUUUAUUUAGACAUUUCAUCAUUUUGUUUCAGUGAACGGACUUUAUUCUUUGACUGUAAAUAUUAUUAUACAUUCCAAAAUAAUAAUGAUCUUUAUUGUCAUAUAAACAAAUAAAAAACAUGUU
This is a long non-coding RNA of Mytilus trossulus (common blue mussel), 1378 nucleotides long. RefSeq lists it as uncharacterized. The transcript has 3 exons. Lineage: Eukaryota; Metazoa; Mollusca; Bivalvia; Mytilida; Mytilidae. The record is from RefSeq and is a predicted model, not a curated record.